CAGCAGCCGCGGUAAUACAGAGGGUGCGAGCGUUAAUCGGAUUUACUGGGCGUAAAGCGUGCGUAGGCGGCUUUUUAAGUCGGAUGUGAAAUCCCUGAGCUUAACUUAGGAAUUGCAUUCGAUACUGGGAAGCUAGAGUAUGGGAGAGGAUGGUAGAAUUCCAGGUGUAGCGGUGAAAUGCGUAGAGAUCUGGAGGAAUACCGAUGGCGAAGGCAGCCAUCUGGCCUAAUACUGACGCUGAGGUACGAAAGCAUGGGGAGCAAACAGGAUUAGAUACCCCAGUAGUCCAUGUCUCUUAUAA
RNAcentral lists this ribosomal RNA (301 nucleotides) under uncultured bacterium. RNAcentral's name for it is "partial 16S ribosomal RNA". It matches the Rfam family "Bacterial small subunit ribosomal RNA", at positions 509 to 809 of the family's 1533-position model. The record is from RNAcentral.